RNAcentral lists this ribosomal RNA (387 nucleotides) under uncultured bacterium. RNAcentral describes it as "bacterial SSU rRNA". It matches the Rfam family "Bacterial small subunit ribosomal RNA", at positions 30 to 414 of the family's 1533-position model. The record is from RNAcentral.
AUUGAACGCUGGCGGCGUGCUUUACACAUGCAAGUCGAACGGCAGCAUGGGAGCUUGCUCCUGAUGGCGAGUGGCGGACGGGUGAGUAAACAUCGGAACGUGCCUUAUAGUGGGGGAUAACGAGUUGAAAGAUUUGCUAAUACCGCAUGAAUGUCUGAGGAUAAAGCUGGGGAUCAGAAAUGACCUGGCGCUAUGAGAGCGGCCGAUGGCCGAUUAGCUAGUUGGUGAGGUAAAAGCUUACCAAGGCGAUGAUCGGUAGCUGUUCUGAGAGGAAGAUCAGCCACACUGGGACUGAGACACGGCCCAGACUCCUACGGGAGGCAGCAGCAAGGAAUUUUCGGCAAUGGGCGCAAGCCUGACCGAGCAACGCCGCGUGGAGGACGACGG